CCUACGGGAGGCAGCAGUAGGGAAUAUUGCACAAUGGGCGAAAGCCUGAUGCAGCAACGCCGCGUGAGCGAUGAAGGCUUUCGGGUCGUAAAGCUCUGUCGUCAGGGAAGAUAAUGACGGUACUUAACGAAGAAGCCCCGGCUAACUACGUGCCAGCAGCCGCGGUAAUACGGAGGGUGCUAGCGUUAUCCGGAAUUACUGGGCGUAAAGGGUGCGUAGGGGGAUUCGUAAGUCAGAGGUGAAAGGCUAGGGCUUAACCGUAGUAAGCCUUUGAAACUGGGGAACUUGAGUGCAGGAGAGGAGAGUGGAAUUCCUAGUGUAGCGGUGAAAUGCGUAGAGAUUAGGAGGAACACCAGUUGCGAAGGCGGCCCUCUGGACUGUAACUGACACUGAGGCACGAAAGCGUGGGGAGCAAACAGGAUUAGAUACCCGAGUAGUC
This 439-nucleotide ribosomal RNA is filed under the name uncultured bacterium. RNAcentral's name for it is "partial 16S ribosomal RNA". It matches the Rfam family "Bacterial small subunit ribosomal RNA", at positions 338 to 795 of the family's 1533-position model. The record is from RNAcentral.